CGUCGUCGUCGUCGUCGUCGUCGUCGUCGUCGUCGUCGUCGUCGUCGUCGUCGUCGUCGUCGUCGUCGUCGUCGUCGUCGUCGUCGUCGUCGUCGUCGUCGUCGUCGUCGUCGUCGUCGUCGUCGUCGUCGUCGUCGUCGUCGUCGUCGUCGUCGUCGUCGUCGUCGUCGUCGUCGUCGUCGUCGUCGUCGUCGUCGUCGUCGUCGUCGUCGUCGUCGUCGUCGUCGUCGUCGUCGUCGUCGUCGUCGUCGUC
RNAcentral lists this long non-coding RNA (253 nucleotides) under Helianthus annuus (common sunflower). Its description in RNAcentral is "hypothetical non coding rna". Lineage: Eukaryota; Viridiplantae; Streptophyta; Magnoliopsida; Asterales; Asteraceae. The record is from RNAcentral.